This 31-nucleotide non-coding RNA is filed under the name Mus musculus (house mouse). The record is from RNAcentral. Lineage: Eukaryota; Metazoa; Chordata; Mammalia; Rodentia; Muridae.
GAACAGGUGAGAAUGCUGCAGCAAGCGCAUA